RNAcentral lists this ribosomal RNA (406 nucleotides) under uncultured bacterium. RNAcentral's name for it is "partial 16S ribosomal RNA". It matches the Rfam family "Bacterial small subunit ribosomal RNA", at positions 30 to 526 of the family's 1533-position model. The record is from RNAcentral.
AUUGAACGCUGGCGGCAGGCCUCACACAUGCAAGUCGAACGAGUGGCGGACGGGUGUGUAAUGUCUGGGAAACUGCCUGAUGGAGGGGGAUAACUACUGGAAACGGUCGCUAAUACCGCAUACCAUCAGAUUUUCCCAGAUGGGAUUAGCUUGUUGGUGGGGUAACGGCUAACCACGGCGACAGUCCCUAGCUGGUCUGAGAGGAGGACCAGACACAGUGGAACUGAGACACGGUCCAGACGCCGACGGGAGGCAGAAGUGGGGAAUAUUGCACAAUGGGCGCAAGCCUGAUGCAGCCAUGCCGCGUGUAUGAAGAAGGCUUUCGGGUUGUAAAGUACUGUCAGCGGGGAGGCGUUACCCGCAGAAGAAGCACCGGCUAACUCCGUGCCAGCAGCCGCGGUAAUAC